RNAcentral lists this unclassified non-coding RNA (372 nucleotides) under uncultured bacterium. RNAcentral describes it as "contains 16S-23S intergenic spacer region". The record is from RNAcentral.
UCCUCUUUACAGAGGCAGUUUGUUUUGAGUCCCCGACUUGACUCGCUGGUAACAAAACAUGAGGGUUGCGCUCGUUGCGGGACUUAACCCAACAUUUCACAACACGAGCUGACGACAGCCAUGCACCACCUGUGCAACACCUUCGAAAGCGACCGCUUUUCGGCGGCUUGCAGUUGCAUGUCAAGCCCUGGUAAGGUUCUUCGCGUUGCAUCGAAUUAAGCCAUAUGCUCCACCGCUUGUGCGGGCCCCCGCCAAUUCCUUUGAGUUUCAACCUUGCGGCCGUAGUCCCCAGGCGGUUCACUUAAUGCGUUAGCUGCGGCACCGAAGGAAACCCCCCGACACCUAGUGAACAUAGUUUAGGGCCAAGACUAC